UAACAGACGUGAAGAAUAUUACCUUUCCAAACCCCAUUAAAAAGGAGUUAGACUUGGGUGCGGGUGCCCGCAUGCUAUGCGGCCCCGACCCAGAUCAAACAUAUGUAGAUAAAACAUUUUAGUAAAUUAGAUCAAAAGUAGUGUCUGGUUCAUUGGUAAAGCAUGUGCCUCUUAUACCAAAGGGAUAAGGUUUGCAACCCCUUUCCCCCUUUCUUUUUUGGAUUUCUGUUUUUUUUUCUUGCAUUUUCGUUUUUUCCUUUUCUUUUCCCCCUUUUUUUCUGUUCUUUUUAUUUUUGUUCCUUUUUUUUCGAUUUUGUGCUUUUCCCUUUUUUUCUUCAUUUUUUGUUCUUUUUU
This 354-nucleotide long non-coding RNA is filed under the name Salvia miltiorrhiza (redroot sage). RNAcentral's name for it is "long non-coding RNA (SMIL_LNC009461)". The record is from RNAcentral. Lineage: Eukaryota; Viridiplantae; Streptophyta; Magnoliopsida; Lamiales; Lamiaceae.